Calliphora vicina (urban bluebottle blowfly) is the source of this 818-nucleotide long non-coding RNA. RefSeq lists it as uncharacterized. The transcript has 5 exons. NCBI's taxonomy places the organism in Eukaryota, Metazoa, Arthropoda, Insecta, Diptera, Calliphoridae. The record is from RefSeq and is a predicted model, not a curated record.
GUCUAAGUCAAAAUGUAUAGUUGGCUACAUAGAUUUUGGUAUUUUUAGAAAGUAUCUGGCAACACUGAAGGUAAUAUAUCAUUUUGUGCAAUAUUUCAUUGAAAGGAAUCAUUUGACUUGUAAAAGUUACAACGUUUUUGUGAGUGUUUUCUGGCAAAUAUUUCUUCUGAUGUGAUUAAGUUCCUGGCUUACAUCAUUUGUAUACUCAAUCAUCAGUUUACUUACAUCAUUAUCAACAUCUUCUCAGCAGUAGCCACAUCAUUCUCUUCAUUAUGAUACUGUGCUGGCAAACGUAAUCAAGAGUUGCUGCAUUUUAACACAAGUACCGAUUUCAGCAGCGAUUGAAAGCCAAAAUACAAUCCAAUUUCCACAAAACACAAAAUCAGCGAAACUUAAAUGGCAUUUCAAAAGACAACAACUACAAAUAUAUACAAGGGAGAUGUGUGGCCUUUUACCAGAAUAGUGUAUAAAUAUCAUUGCGUAUCAAAAAUGUUCUCCUAUAGCAAUAACCAAAUUCAGUUUCUUUAAAGAUUUUUAGAAUAUAAUAUGUUGAUAAAGUUUUUUUAUGUUUUUCUUUGUUCAAUUUAUUUGUGUUUUGAAAUUUCUAUCAAUAGAAAUGACCCAAAAUUUAAGAAGGUGGGUUUGUGAAACAUAUCCCCUAAUUUGCGUAAAUGGGAGACUUAAUGUUUAAAUGAUUAUCCUUAUUAUAUAUUUUUAUUUGUAAUGUAAAAAUCAAAAGUUAUGAAAUGCAAAUAUUAAAUUUAUUGUUUAUUUAUUCAAAAUAAUAAAGAUAUUGUUUAAACAUUAUUUUAUUAAUA